GCCUACGGGGGGCAGCAGUAGGGAAUCUUCCACAAUGGGCGAAAGCCUGAUGGAGCAACGCCGCGUGGGUGAAGAAGGUCUUCGGAUCGUAAAACCCUGUUGUUAGAGAAGAAAGUGCGUGAGAGUAACUGUUCACGUUUCGACGGUAUCUAACCAGAAAGCCACGGCUAACUACGUGCCAGCAGCCGCGGUAAUACGUAGGUGGCAAGCGUUAUCCGGAUUUAUUGGGCGUAAGGAGAACGCAGGCGGUCUUUUAAGUCUGAUGUGAAAGCCUUCGGCUUGACCGGAGUAGUGCAUUGGAAACU
Molecule: ribosomal RNA, 305 nt
Filed under: uncultured bacterium
Lineage: Bacteria
Description: bacterial SSU rRNA
Rfam family: Bacterial small subunit ribosomal RNA
Source: RNAcentral